Molecule: long non-coding RNA, 676 nt
Organism: Ruditapes philippinarum (Manila clam)
Lineage: Eukaryota; Metazoa; Mollusca; Bivalvia; Venerida; Veneridae
Exons: 3
Source: RefSeq, a predicted model, not a curated record
CUAAGCCAUCAACAUCUACAGACGCUUUAUAUGACAAAAAAGGGGUCAAGAAGUCAAGUUCUUCAUCUGUAACAAAUGUUAAAAGUCCUACAAAAACAAAAGAAAAUCAACCUGUAUCACCUCAAAGAUAUAGCAGAUCAAGGCGUUCAACUUGUAUGAAAUUUGUUGGUAGAAGAAUACUUCAUAAAUGGGAAACUGAUGUUGGUCAAGAAGAGUGGUACUCAGGAAUUGUUAUUGGUGUUUCCAGAGGGAAAGAUGGAAAUAAAAAUGCUGUGUACCAAGUGCAGUAUAAAAAUGAAAAUGACAUUUAUGAUGUAGAAGAACUGUAUAAAGAUUAUGAGGAGGGGAAUUUGCGAUUUGAUGAUUUAUGAGCAAACCAGAUAACAGAUUAUAACAGUAUGAUGUUCAUAUUUACCCACCAUACUUUUAUCAUGGACUACUUUAUUUUGACAGCUGAUUAUGUAAUAGUGUACUGAAAUUUUUAAAACAGUGACUUCAAAACAGUGAACUUUUUACAUACUUUAAACAACUUUGAACAAUAUUUUUUUGGUGGAGCAUCUAAGGAAGAUGUUAUAGAUAAAAACCAGUGUUUUUAAAUCUUAAUUUUUGGAUUGACAACUUCAGGAAAUUGGCAUAAAAAAGACACUUCUUGUACAAGGUAAAACUUCAAAACAUU